GGCGUGCUUAACACAUGCAAGUCGAACGUGAUUUUUGUGGAAAUUCUUUCGGGAAUGGAAAUGAAAUGAAAGUGGCGAACGGGUGAGUAACACGUGAGCAACCUACCUUACACAGGGGGAUAGCCGUUGGAAACGACGAUUAAUACCGCAUGAGACCACAGAAUCGCAUGAUAUAGGGGUCAAAGAUUUAUCGGUGUAAGAAGGGCUCGCGUCUGAUUAGCUAGUUGGAAGGGUAAAGGCCCACCAAGGCGACGAUCAGUAGCCGGUCUGAGAGGAUGAACGGCCACAUUGGAACUGAGACACGGUCCAAACUCCUACGGGAGGCAGCAGUGGGGAAUAUUGCACAAUGGGGGGAACCCUGAUGCAGCGACGCCGCGUGAGCGAAGAAGGUUUUCGAAUCGUAAAGCUCUGUCCUAUGAGAAGAUAAUGACGGUAUCAUAGGAGGAAGCCCCGGCUAAAUACGUGCCAGCAGCCGCGGUAAUACGUAUGGGGCGAGCGUUGUCCGGAAUUAUUGGGCGUAAAGGGUACGUAGGCGGUUUUUUAAGUCACGUGUGAAAAGCGUGAGGCUUACCCUCAUU
This 578-nucleotide ribosomal RNA is filed under the name Parvimonas micra. RNAcentral describes it as "bacterial SSU rRNA". It matches the Rfam family "Bacterial small subunit ribosomal RNA", at positions 41 to 619 of the family's 1533-position model. Lineage: Bacteria; Bacillati; Bacillota; Tissierellia; Tissierellales; Peptoniphilaceae. The record is from RNAcentral.